GCGGCCAUGGUGGAAUUGGUAGACACGCAAGCUUGAGGUGCUUGUGGAGCGAUCCGUGGAAGUUCGAGUCUUCUUGGCCGCACCA
This 85-nucleotide transfer RNA is filed under the name Alphaproteobacteria bacterium. RNAcentral's name for it is "tRNA-Leu". It matches the Rfam family "tRNA". From Rfam's summary of the family: Transfer RNA (tRNA) molecules are approximately 80 nucleotides in length. Their secondary structure includes four short double-helical elements and three loops (D, anti-codon, and T loops). Further hydrogen bonds mediate the characteristic L-shaped molecular structure. tRNAs have two regions of fundamental functional importance: the anti-codon, which is responsible for specific mRNA codon recognition, and the 3' end, to which the tRNAs corresponding amino acid is attached (by aminoacyl-tRNA synthetases). tRNAs cope with the degeneracy of the genetic code in two manners: having more than one tRNA (with a specific anti-codon) for a particular amino acid; and 'wobble' base-pairing, i.e. permitting non-standard base-pairing at the 3rd anti-codon position. RNAcentral also lists the same sequence under 1 other name. Lineage: Bacteria; Pseudomonadati; Pseudomonadota; Alphaproteobacteria. The record is from RNAcentral.